GUCGGCGUGAUAAUCAUGUUGUGCCGUUGGGCUGAGGUCUCAGUCCACCGCUUACAAUGGUCUCUGGACGAUGAUUGAAACACUUGACCUCAAAUCAGGUAGGACUACCCGCUGAACUUAAGCAUAUCAAUAAGCGGAGGAAAAGAAACUAACAAGGAUUCCCCUAGUAACUGCGAGUGAAGCGGGAAAAGCUCAAAUUUAAAAUCUGGCGGUCUCUGGCCGUCCGAGUUGUAAUCUGGAGAAGCGUUUUCUGCGUCGGACCGUGUACAAGUUUUCUGGAAUGAAACGUCAUAGAGGGUGAGAAUCCCGUCUUUGACAUGGACUACCGAUGCUAUGUGAUACGCUCUCGAAGAGUCGAGUUGUUUGGGAAUGCAGCUCAAAAUGGGUGGUAAAUUCCAUCUAAAGCUAAAUAUUGGCGAGAGACCGAUAGCGAACAAGUACCGUGAGGGAAAGAUGAAAAGCACUUUGGAAAGAGAGUUAAACAGUACGUGAAAUUGUUGAAAGGGAAACGUUUGAAGCCAGUCGCGUCAGCCGAGACUCAACCUUACUUUAUGUUUGGUGCACUUCUCGGUGGACGGGUCAACAUCAAUUUUGGUCGUCAGAUAAAGGCCUGGGGAAUGUGGCAUCUCUCGGGAUGUGUUAUAGCCCUGGGUU
RNAcentral lists this ribosomal RNA (654 nucleotides) under uncultured fungus. Its description in RNAcentral is "eukaryotic LSU rRNA". The stretch from base 85 to 654 matches the Rfam family "Eukaryotic large subunit ribosomal RNA", at positions 1 to 570 of the family's 3401-position model. The record is from RNAcentral. Lineage: Eukaryota; Fungi.